GGUUAUAGCUCAGUGGUAGAGCACUUGCCUAGCACAUGGGAGAUGCUGGGUUUGAGCCUCAGCACCA
RNAcentral lists this transfer RNA (67 nucleotides) under Marmota monax (woodchuck). Its description in RNAcentral is "tRNA.Ala". Lineage: Eukaryota; Metazoa; Chordata; Mammalia; Rodentia; Sciuridae. The record is from RNAcentral.